RNAcentral lists this long non-coding RNA (355 nucleotides) under Lathyrus oleraceus (garden pea). RNAcentral's name for it is "Pisum sativum (pea) long non-coding RNA (PSAT_LNC031335)". The record is from RNAcentral. Lineage: Eukaryota; Viridiplantae; Streptophyta; Magnoliopsida; Fabales; Fabaceae.
GAUCUAGCAGCAUAACAAUACUGCACUGCGACAGGGCGAGUCUUGCAUCAAGCCACUAAACUUAGCAUCGAGCAAUAACGGCAACCGACGGGGGCUUGCAAUGAAUUUGCUUGUGUUGACACAAUAUAUAUUAACCCUGACACUACACCAAACUGAACACGAAUCCUGCACCAUAGAAAAUAUCUAAGCAAGUCACAACAAGCCAAUGCAGUUCAGUUCAAAUCAAUGAGUUUCAAAAUAAUACGCAGUUCAGGAAGUUAAGCAACAGUCCAAAUCAGUUUGGUUCAAUAACAGUUAUCCACAGUUGGAUCAAAGAACUUAAAGCAAAGGGAUUAGAGAGUGAACUUGUGGAAAA